UGAGGAAUAUUGGGCAAUGCCCGCAAGGGUGACCCAGCAACGCCGCGUGGAGGAUGAAUGUCGUAAGAUUGUAAACUCCUGUUAGAGGGGAAGAAUAGUACCGGUUGGACCGGUAUAUGACUGUACCCUCAGAGAAAGCCCCGGCUCACUACGUGCCAGCAGCCGCGGUAAUACGUCGGGGGCAAGCGUUGUCCGGAUUUACUGGGUGUAAAGGGCGCGCAGGCGGGAUAAAAAGUCAGUGGUGAAAUCCUACAGCUUAACUGUAGAACUGCCUUUGAUACUUUUAUUCUUGAGUUCGGGAGAGAGAGACGGAAUUCCAGGUGUAGUGGUGAAAUACGUAGAUAUCUGGAAGAACACCAGUUGCGAAGGCGGUCUCUUGGUCCGACACUGACGCUGAGGCGCGAAAGCGUGGGG
RNAcentral lists this ribosomal RNA (414 nucleotides) under uncultured bacterium. RNAcentral describes it as "bacterial SSU rRNA". It matches the Rfam family "Bacterial small subunit ribosomal RNA", at positions 355 to 766 of the family's 1533-position model. The record is from RNAcentral.